RNAcentral lists this ribosomal RNA (359 nucleotides) under uncultured bacterium. RNAcentral describes it as "partial 16S ribosomal RNA". It matches the Rfam family "Bacterial small subunit ribosomal RNA", at positions 338 to 694 of the family's 1533-position model. The record is from RNAcentral.
CCUACGGGUGGCAGCAGUGAGGAAUAUUGGUCAAUGGGCGGAAGCCUGAACCAGCCAAGUAGCGUGCAGGAUGACGGCCCUACGGGUUGUAAACUGCUUUUAUACGGGAAUAACGCGCCUUACGUGUAGGGCUUUGCAUGUACCGUAUGAAUAAGGACCGGCUAAUUCCGUGCCAGCAGCCGCGGUACUACGGAAGGUCCGGGCGUUAUCCGGAUUUGUUGGGUUUAAAGGGAGCGUAGGCCGCAUGUCACGCGUGCUGUGAAAUGUCCGGGCGCAACCCGGGCCGUGCAGCCCGAACUGGCGUGCUUGAGUCCGCGGAAAGCAGGCGGAAUUCGUGGUGUAGCGGUGAAAUGCGUAGA